RNAcentral lists this ribosomal RNA (730 nucleotides) under uncultured eukaryote. RNAcentral describes it as "SSU rRNA". It matches the Rfam family "Eukaryotic small subunit ribosomal RNA", at positions 671 to 1426 of the family's 1831-position model. The record is from RNAcentral.
UGGCCAUGUUGGUCUAACAGAUCCUCAUUUGCUGGAUAAUUGGCGAUGAUCUUUAUCGGUUGUCGUCAGUUGCCAGAACGUUUACUUUGAGAAAAUUAGAGUGCUAAAAGCAGGCUCACGCCUAUAUAUAUUGCAUGGAAUAAUGAAAUAAGAUCUCGAUUUUAUUUCGUUGGUUUUAGAAAUUGAGAUAAUGAUUAAUAGGAUCAGAGGGGGGCGUACGUACUGUGGUGUGAGAGGUGAAAUUCUUGGAUCGCCACAGGACGAACAGCAGCGAAGGCGUUCGCCAAGAAUGUUUUCAUUAAUCAAGAACGAAAGUUUGAGGUUCGAAGACGAUUAGAUACCGUCCUAGUUCAAACCAUAAACGUUGCCAACUGUCUUUUAGAUGCGGUUAUUUAUAUGACUCAUCUGGCGGAUCUCGAGAAAUCUAAGUUUUUAGGUUCCGGGGGAAGUAUGGUUGCAAAGCUGAAACUUAAAAGAAUUGACGGAAGGACACACAAGAAGUGGAGCCUGUGGCCUAAUUUGACUCAACACGGGAAACCUUACUCGGCCAGGACACUUUUAGGAUUGACAGAUUGAGAGCUCUUUCUUGAUUAGGUGGGUGGUGGUGCAUGGUCGUUCGUAGUUCGUGGAGCGAUUUGUCUGAUUAAUUUCGAUAACGAACGAGACUCCGGCUUACUAAAUAGUCUAAAGUUCGAAGGGACUUUUCAAGACUUCUUAGCAGGAUAAAUGG